This 1214-nucleotide ribosomal RNA is filed under the name Chryseobacterium hagamense. Its description in RNAcentral is "bacterial SSU rRNA". It matches the Rfam family "Bacterial small subunit ribosomal RNA", at positions 161 to 1382 of the family's 1533-position model. The record is from RNAcentral. Lineage: Bacteria; Pseudomonadati; Bacteroidota; Flavobacteriia; Flavobacteriales; Weeksellaceae.
GAUUAAUACCCCAUAAUAUAAUGAAUGGCAUCAUUUAUUAUUGAAAACUCCGGUGGAUAGAGAUGGGCACGCGCAAGAUUAGAUAGUUGGUGAGGUAACGGCUCACCAAGUCGAUGAUCUUUAGGGGGCCUGAGAGGGUGAUCCCCCACACUGGUACUGAGACACGGACCAGACUCCUACGGGAGGCAGCAGUGAGGAAUAUUGGACAAUGGGUUAGCGCCUGAUCCAGCCAUCCCGCGUGAAGGACGACGGCCCUAUGGGUUGUAAACUUCUUUUGUACAGGGAUAAACCUACUCUCGUGAGAGUAGCUGAAGGUACUGUACGAAUAAGCACCGGCUAACUCCGUGCCAGCAGCCGCGGUAAUACGGAGGGUGCAAGCGUUAUCCGGAUUUAUUGGGUUUAAAGGGUCCGUAGGCGGAUCUGUAAGUCAGUGGUGAAAUCUCACAGCUUAACUGUGAAACUGCCAUUGAUACUGCAGGUCUUGAGUAAGGUAGAAGUGGCUGGAAUAAGUAGUGUAGCGGUGAAAUGCAUAGAUAUUACUUAGAACACCAAUUGCGAAGGCAGGUCACUAUGUCUUAACUGACGCUGAUGGACGAAAGCGUGGGGAGCGAACAGGAUUAGAUACCCUGGUAGUCCACGCCGUAAACGAUGCUAACUCGUUUUUGGGCUUUCGGGUUCAGAGACUAAGCGAAAGUGAUAAGUUAGCCACCUGGGGAGUACGUUCGCAAGAAUGAAACUCAAAGGAAUUGACGGGGGCCCGCACAAGCGGUGGAUUAUGUGGUUUAAUUCGAUGAUACGCGAGGAACCUUACCAAGGCUUAAAUGGGAAUUGAUCGGUUUAGAAAUAGACCUUCCUUCGGGCAAUUUUCAAGGUGCUGCAUGGUUGUCGUCAGCUCGUGCCGUGAGGUGUUAGGUUAAGUCCUGCAACGAGCGCAACCCCUGUUACUAGUUGCUACCAUUAAGUUGAGGACUCUAGUAAGACUGCCUACGCAAGUAGAGAGGAAGGUGGGGAUGACGUCAAAUCAUCACGGCCCUUACGCCUUGGGCCACACACGUAAUACAAUGGCCGGUACAGAGGGCAGCUACACAGCGAUGUGAUGCGAAUCUCGAAAGCCGGUCUCAGUUCGGAUUGGAGUCUGCAACUCGACUCUAUGAAGCUGGAAUCGCUAGUAAUCGCGCAUCAGCCAUGGCGCGGUGAAUACGUUCCCGGGCCUU